AAAAUGCGAAAAGUAUUGUGACAUGCAAUCUUCGUGAAUCAUCCAAUUUUUGAACGCACCUUGCACCGACAGGCUCUCGCUUGUCGGUAUACUUGUUUGAGCAUCGACCCCCCUCUGCCCUCACUCUCGAGUGGGCGUCUUUCAAGUGUGCUUGCACACUUGCUAGUAAAAGGCAGGACCUGGUCUCCUCGGGCUUUACGGCACGAGUGGGCUGAAAUGCAGCCAGCGCACCGAGCGCGCACAUGGGAUAACAUCCAACAUGGGCGUGUUUGCGUGACACUGGACCCUCUUUUCAUGCGUGAAAGGGGGGGUAUCACGACUACCGAUCUCAAAUCAAGUAGGAAUACCCGCUGAACUUAAGCAUAUCAGUAAGCGGAGGAAAAGAAACUAACAAGGAUUCCCCUAGU
RNAcentral lists this ribosomal RNA (407 nucleotides) under uncultured Thelephoraceae. RNAcentral's name for it is "eukaryotic LSU rRNA". The stretch from base 324 to 407 matches the Rfam family "Eukaryotic large subunit ribosomal RNA", at positions 1 to 84 of the family's 3401-position model. Lineage: Eukaryota; Fungi; Basidiomycota; Agaricomycetes; Thelephorales; Thelephoraceae. The record is from RNAcentral.